UGAGGGAUGACUACGGAAAUUGUGGACCUC
This 30-nucleotide non-coding RNA is filed under the name Rattus norvegicus (Norway rat). The record is from RNAcentral. Lineage: Eukaryota; Metazoa; Chordata; Mammalia; Rodentia; Muridae.